RNAcentral lists this ribosomal RNA (672 nucleotides) under uncultured bacterium. RNAcentral describes it as "bacterial SSU rRNA". It matches the Rfam family "Bacterial small subunit ribosomal RNA", at positions 152 to 810 of the family's 1533-position model. The record is from RNAcentral.
GGAAACAGGUGCUAAUACCGCAUAACAGUUUAUGCCGCAUGGCAUAAGAGUGAAAGGCGCUUUCGGGUGUCGCUGAUGGAUGGACCCGCGGUGCAUUAGCUAGUUGGUGAGGUAACGGCUCACCAAGGCCACGAUGCAUAGCCGACCUGAGAGGGUGAUCGGCCACACUGGGACUGAGACACGGCCCAGACUCCUACGGGAGGCAGCAGUAGGGAAUCUUCGGCAAUGGACGAAAGUCUGACCGAGCAACGCCGCGUGAGUGAAGAAGGUUUUCGGAUCGUAAAACUCUGUUGUUAGAGAAGAACAAGGACGUUAGUAACUGAACGUCCCCUGACGGUAUCUAACCAGAAAGCCACGGCUAACUACGUGCCAGCAGCCGCGGUAAUACGUAGGUGGCAAGCGUUGUCCGGAUUUAUUGGGCGUAAAGCGAGCGCAGGCGGUUUCUUAAGUCUGAUGUGAAAGCCCCCGGCUCAACCGGGGAGGGUCAUUGGAAACUGGGAGACUUGAGUGCAGAAGAGGAGAGUGGAAUUCCAUGUGUAGCGGUGAAAUGCGUAGAUAUAUGGAGGAACACCAGUGGCGAAGGCGGCUCUCUGGUCUGUAACUGACGCUGAGGCUCGAAAGCGUGGGGAGCGAACAGGAUUAGAUACCCUGGUAGUCCACGCCGUAAACGAU